RNAcentral lists this ribosomal RNA (802 nucleotides) under Microbacterium sp. Its description in RNAcentral is "bacterial SSU rRNA". It matches the Rfam family "Bacterial small subunit ribosomal RNA", at positions 56 to 865 of the family's 1533-position model. Lineage: Bacteria; Bacillati; Actinomycetota; Actinomycetes; Micrococcales; Microbacteriaceae. The record is from RNAcentral.
UGCAGUCGAACGAUGAAGCACCAGCUUGCUGGUGUGGAUUAGUGGCGAACGGGUGAGUAACACGUGAGCAACCUGCCCCGGACUUUGGGAUAAGCGCUGGAAACGGCGUCUAAUACCGAAUAUGCACCAUGAAGGCAUCUUCAAUGGUGGGAAAGAUUUAUCGGUCCGGGAGGGGCUCGCGGCCUAUCAGCUUGUUGGUGAGGUAAUGGCUCACCAAGGCGUCGACGGGUAGCCGGCCUGAGAGGGUGACCGGCCACACUGGGACUGAGACACGGCCCAGACUCCUACGGGAGGCAGCAGUGGGGAAUAUUGCACAAUGGGCGCAAGCCUGAUGCAGCAACGCCGCGUGGGGGAUGACGGCCUUCGGGUUGUAAACCCCUUUUAGUAGGGAAGAAGCCUUCGGGUGACGGUACCUGCAGAAAAAGCGCCGGCUAACUACGUGCCAGCAGCCGCGGUAAUACGUAGGGCGCAAGCGUUAUCCGGAAUUAUUGGGCGUAAAGAGCUCGUAGGCGGCUUGUCGCGUCUGCUGUGAAAACUGGAGGCUCAACUUCCAGCGUGCAGUGGGUACGGGCAGGCUAGAGUGCGGUAGGGGAGAUUGGAAUUCCUGGUGUAGCGGUGGAAUGCGCAGAUAUCAGGAGGAACACCGAUGGCGAAGGCAGAUCUCUGGGCCGUAACUGACGCUGAGGAGCGAAAGAGUGGGGAGCGAACAGGCUUAGAUACCCUGGUAGUCCACUCCGUAAACGUUGGGAACUAGUUGUGGGGGCCUUUCCACGGUCUCCGUGACGCAGCUAACGCAUUAAGU